CAAGAGAACCAGGCUGAAGCCAUAUCACCUUUCGCAUGCUAGCCUUGGGAGUAAAAUCAUGUCCUUCUCAUUGUACUCCAUUAAUCAGGGCAGUCGCAAAGAUCCAGCCAGACUGAAUGAGAGGGGACAGACAUCAUCAUUCCACGGCUGGUACGUUAAGCUUACAUUGUAAGAAAAGCAUGUGGGAUGUGCAGUGUUAUUACUUGCCACCCAACUCACCCUCGAUUAGUAAUAAAGUGUCUAUAUGGGACACGUGGAAGCAAGGGGGAGAGAAAUAAGAGUCCUAAGUUUCUCCCAGAUACUGACUGAUACUGGGAAACGUGCCUAAAACCCACUGCUGGAAUCCUUCUCUGGAUCAGAGCACGCAGCCUCAGAACACAGCACUGGCCCUUCCAGGAGCUGUUAGAAAUGUAGAACCUCAGAGCCUACAUUGAAGAUAUUGAAUCGGAGUCUGCACAUCGCUUCUGAGAAGCCAUGAGCUAAGCUGAUGCCAUUCAGCUGGGUAGCAUCGCAGUCACUGUGCAACUUUUAAACAUACAGCUGCCCAGGCCCACUGCAGACCUGCUAAAUUCAAGCUCCUUGUAGUGGGGCCAGGGCCCUGGGACUUCAUACAAAACUCUGCAAGUCAUCACUGAUGAGAAAACCAAGACUCGAUGAGAGUCUCCUGAGCUCAGAGGAAGAAGCUGCAUAACCAGCACACUUCCAGAGAGGACCGAGGAAGAGAGCGUUGCUUCAGCCAGGGUCUGAUUAGUCAUGCCUGGCAGGCUCUGCUGAGCUGGGUGCUCAUGGGUUUUGCUUGCUGAGCUGAAUUAAUAUAUUAGUGGAUUUCAUGUUUGACUCGCUCUUUCUUUCUCACUGCGCAGGAGCUAAAGGAGUGGAGCUGGGGAUGCCAAUGUUUCUGUUUAGACAGCUGAAGGGGCCAUGCGAGCCCACAGCGAGAGCUGCAGGAGCAGCUACUACAGGGAGUGGGCAGAUUUUAGGGUGCGCAGAUUUGUACUUGGUGUGGCUCGGUUGUACAUUCAGGAAUCUCUUUCCUUGUGAUACGCAGAGCUGCACGUGGAAGAUGUUAGGAACACAGCUGGGUGCAGUUUUGCUGGUUAGUUCUGAACAAACCUACAGACGUGAGAUUUGAACUCUAUAAGGGAAGAAAGCAAGGAGGAAGAAGGCACUGAGGCUGCCUGUCACCAGAAGGGUUCUGGGCAAAACGGGGUAGAGUGACUUGGGACAGUUCCUCCUAACGAUAGCACAGGCAGUAGGGGUUGAGACACAGUGGGGUUGAGACUUGCUUAAAUGUAUAGUUAUUCAGCCAGCCAUUUUCAUAGAAUAAUUGUGGGUUGCCCUGAGCUGCCGCGUUCACAUGCUCUGCAGUGGAGUACUAUAUGCUAAUGUGAGAUGGGAGUACACCCA
RNAcentral lists this long non-coding RNA (1407 nucleotides) under Homo sapiens (human). RNAcentral describes it as "HSALNT0365974". Lineage: Eukaryota; Metazoa; Chordata; Mammalia; Primates; Hominidae. The record is from RNAcentral.